Molecule: ribosomal RNA, 396 nt
Filed under: uncultured bacterium
Lineage: Bacteria
Description: partial 16S ribosomal RNA
Rfam family: Bacterial small subunit ribosomal RNA
Source: RNAcentral
AUACGUAGGGAGCGAGCGUUGUCCGGAAUUACUGGGUGUAAAGGGUGCGUAGGCGGGACUGCAAGUCAGAUGUGAAAUGCCGGGGCUCAACCCCGGAGCUGCAUUUGAAACUGUGGUUCUUGAGUGAGGUAGAGGUAAGCGGAAUUCCUAGUGUAGCGGUGAAAUGCGUAGAUAUUAGGAGGAACAUCGGUGGCGAAGGCGGCUUACUGGGCCUUUACUGACGCUGAGGCACGAAAGCGUGGGGAGCAAACAGGAUUAGAUACCCUGGUAGUCCACGCUGUAAACGAUGAUGACUAGGUGUGGGGGGACUGAACCCUUCCGUGCCGCAGUUAACACAAUAAGUCAUCCACCUGGGGAGUAUGGCCGCAAGGUUGAAACUCAAAUGAAUUGACGGGG